ACAUGCCUACAACAUAGCGCUAAUGCAUCAGAUCCCAUUAGAAAUAUGCAAUUAAGUGUGCUCAGGAUAGAGUAGUACUAGGAUGGGUGACUGCUGAGGAAGUUCUAGUGUUUUACAUGUC
Picea glauca (white spruce) is the source of this 121-nucleotide non-coding RNA. NCBI's taxonomy places the organism in Eukaryota, Viridiplantae, Streptophyta, Pinopsida, Pinales, Pinaceae. The record is from Rfam.